AACGUAGGACGCAAGCGUUAUCCGGAGUUACUGGGCGUAAAGCGCGGGCAGGCGGUCGCUUAAGUCUGAUGUGAAAUCUCCCGGCUCAACCGGGAGCAGCCAUUGGAAACUAGGCGACUGGAGUCUGGCAGAGGUAGGCGGAAUUCCGGGUGGAGUGGUGAAAUGCGUAGAGAUCCGGAGGAACACCAGAGGCGAAGGCGGCCUACUGGGCCUAAACUGACGCUGAGGGGCGAAAGCGUGGGGAGCGAACGGG
This 253-nucleotide ribosomal RNA is filed under the name uncultured bacterium. RNAcentral's name for it is "partial 16S ribosomal RNA". It matches the Rfam family "Bacterial small subunit ribosomal RNA", at positions 524 to 776 of the family's 1533-position model. The record is from RNAcentral.